AGCUUGGGCUAGGAAUUUGUGC
RNAcentral lists this microRNA (22 nucleotides) under Medicago truncatula (barrel medic). RNAcentral describes it as "mtr-miR2621". The record is from miRBase by way of RNAcentral. Lineage: Eukaryota; Viridiplantae; Streptophyta; Magnoliopsida; Fabales; Fabaceae.